Capra hircus (goat) is the source of this 1769-nucleotide long non-coding RNA. The record is from Ensembl. Lineage: Eukaryota; Metazoa; Chordata; Mammalia; Artiodactyla; Bovidae.
UAUCCGGAAAUAAAUGCGAUCCAACUGCAGAAUAUCCUGAACCACAUGCCCUGGUCAGGUCUAGGAAGCAAACAGCCUGUCUUCAGCCUUGAGGCCUGUCAGGGUAUCCUGGCCCUGCUGGAUCUUAACGCAUCCGGCACUGUGAGUAUCCAGGAAUUCAGGGACCUGUGGAAGCAGCUGAUGUUCUACCAGGAGGUUUUCCACAAGCAAGACACUAACCAGUCAGGAUCCCUGAAUUGGGCCCAACUACGGGCUGCCAUGAGGGAGGCAGGAAUCGUGCUCAGUGACGGCGUCUGCCAGCUGAUGCUUAUCCGCUACGGCGGCCCCGACCUCCAGAUGAACUUCGUCAGCUUUGUCCACUUGAUGCUGCGUGUGGAGAACAUGGAGGAUGUCUUCCAAAACUUGACCCAAGACGGCAAAGGGAUAUACCUCCAGAAGCCAGAGUGGCUAAUGAUGGCUCUGUACUGCUGAGAAGGCUGGAAGCUCACUGAUCCUCACUGAGGACUCUGCAUAUGGACCAAGGGUGGCCUUUAGCUGGGACCAACCCAUGUUCAACCCACCUACAUUUCUUCAGGACCGUGUCUCCAGCUAUCACCGUCUCAUCUGGGAGGAUGGGCAGCAUACAAAAAGAGAAGUGAGGGAGUAAAGAUUGCCUUGGGGUUGUCAAGACCAGCUCUUUUCCCCAGUGACCACAACCACAAGCAGAGACAUGGCCUGAGCUGACUGUGGGUUGGUGCGCUUAUCUUUGUAUGAUACGGCCUCCAUGGGAGUCUAACUUAAAUGACCUUAGAUGUGCUAUGUCAUCAUAUUUGGGGUAAGCGUCUAGGUCUCAAGAUCUGAAGAGGGAAUGAUAUGUCUACAGACAUAUGUAAAUUGGCAUCUAUAAACUGGUAGCAGCAUAGGCUAAGUUUUAACUGUCUAGGGGUGGAGUAGACCCAUAUUGCACUUUCAAGAGUGCAGAAAAUAAUAGAAUUGGCAAGGUUUGGGGGCAUGGGCUGGCCCUGGCCUCUGAGGUCACUGAGUGAUCUUCUGCUAACAAUAUCUCCAGAUAGUUGGAUUUGGUGUGUACCGGUAGAUUUGAAACAUCCAGCUUCUUAAAGGGCUUUCUGCAUAUGAUGGGUGUUAGUCUGUUUACCUGACCUAUGGGCUAUCAGAUCUACUUCAAAGAAAAAUAACAAAUCCAUGCUACAUCAUAGAGUUAAUCAGUAAAUGGUCAGUAUAUCUGUUUUGUGUUUUUUUAACUAUGUUCAUACCUCAUUUUCAUGGGAUCCCUACCAAUCCAGAACCCAGAUGGAAAACCAGAGCACUGGCCAUUUUCCAAGGCCAUACAUUCUAUUUAUAAGUUAGCAACCUAGAGCCAUUCUUAAAAUUCUAUUUAUUAUUCAUUUACAAACUGUUCUAACCAUUGAGACUGCCUGGUUUCCAGGCCCAUAGCAGAUUAAAGGAGGAGGCUGAAAGGGGGAGAUCAAAGGGUGUCUUUUGGAAGAACUAAAGGAAAUUUGACAGCCUGGUAGAUGGGCAGUAUGGAAGAAAGAGGGAGCUCUUUCAAAGAAUGGCUCAGGGAGUAGAAAAGCAUUUUAUUUAGAAAAACCUUUAUUUAUUCCAAGUGAUGAAAAAUACAACAGUUUGUCAUAAAGUGCCAUGUAUACUACUACUUGAGUAUUACUGAUUUUAUAAAUAGUGAUCCUGUAUUUAUAUUUUUUAAAGAGUUAUAUGUUUGUUUAUUUAUCAAUAUCUCUAUCUUUAGAUUCUGCCAUUGUAAAUAUUUG